This 467-nucleotide ribosomal RNA is filed under the name uncultured bacterium. Its description in RNAcentral is "partial 16S ribosomal RNA". It matches the Rfam family "Bacterial small subunit ribosomal RNA", at positions 28 to 507 of the family's 1533-position model. The record is from RNAcentral.
GACGAACGCUGGCGGCGUGCUUAACACAUGCAAGUCGAACGGAAGGCCCUGCUUUUGUGGGGUGGUCGGAUUGCGAACGGGUUAGUAACACCUGAGUAACCUGCCCUUGACUUUGGGAUCACUUCAGGGAACUGGGGCUAAUACCGGAUAGGAGCUCCUGCUGCUUGGUUGGGGUUGGAAAGUUUCGGCGGUUGGGGAUUGAAUCGCGGCUUAUCAGCUUGUUGGUGGGGGAGGGGCUUACCAAGGCUUUGACGGGUAGCCGGCCUGGGAGGGUGACCGGCCACAUUGGGACUGAGAUACGGCCCAGACUCCUACGGGAGGCAGCAGUGGGGAAUAUUGCACAAUGGGCGGAAGCCUGAUGCAGCAACGCCGCGUGCGGGAUGACGGCCUUCGGGUUGUAAACCGCUUUCGCCUGUGACGAAGCGUGAGUGACGGUAAUGGGUAAAGAAGCACCGGCUAACUACGUG